This 778-nucleotide long non-coding RNA is filed under the name Bos taurus (domestic cattle). RNAcentral describes it as "long non-coding RNA NONBTAT022012". Lineage: Eukaryota; Metazoa; Chordata; Mammalia; Artiodactyla; Bovidae. The record is from RNAcentral.
ACCAAUGUGAACAUACAUCUUAAUUAUUUUGAAAUAAUUUCAGUCUUAUAGGAAAACUGUGCAGGUAAAGGACUCCAACACUCCCUUAGAGAGUUCCCAUUCCAGUGAGAGAGCAACUGACAAUGCAGGUGUGCAAAUGCCAUGGAGCAAAUAAUGGCACUGGAAACAACUUAAAAUCUAUUUCCAGUUUUAAGGACAAGAAAGCAAAAGUCCUGAUUUUGUAGAAAAUCAUAGAGAUCCCUGGAUACUCUAUCAGAACUAGAAGAACUAACUACAUAAGCACAACAUAUUAUCAUUAUACAAAUAUAGAAAGCCUCAGCGACUUUCACUUUUCCACGUAAAUGCAGAAUACUCUGAGCUAUAAGAACAGUAUAGUUAUUACUCAUCUUAACAGAUUUCUGAUUGAUGAGAGCCAUGACAUCGAAAGAAUCUAAGGGAUUUUUCCUUAUCAUCAAGCACUGUUUUAAAAAAGGCUAGCAUUAUCUUCCCACUUUCCUUUUCUUUGCCCCAAUAACCCUAGGCCCUAGAGCCUCAAGACCUGCCUCCUGGUCUUCUGCCAUGAACUUACUGCCUUAUCAAUAAACCUUUUGUUUCUGUUGGUCACGCCAGUCAUGUUUUAAUCUGCCAUUACCUGUGCUCAGGGCAUUAACAAUGUAAACAUUCACGUCACUGUUGAGUCUCAGAAGGCGAACACUACCAGAUACCUAUCAGGAAAGAACAGAGCCCCCGAUUCUCUCCAGGGCAGCAGGCUUCUACUUGGCUGUCACUCCAGCUGCUC